Molecule: ribosomal RNA, 464 nt
Filed under: Vreelandella stevensii
Lineage: Bacteria; Pseudomonadati; Pseudomonadota; Gammaproteobacteria; Oceanospirillales; Halomonadaceae
Description: partial 16S ribosomal RNA
Rfam family: Bacterial small subunit ribosomal RNA
Source: RNAcentral
CUACGGGGUGCAGCAGUGGGGAAUAUUGGACAAUGGGCGAAAGCCUGAUCCAGCCAUGCCGCGUGUGUGAAGAAGGCCUUCGGGUUGUAAAGCACUUUCAGUGGGGAAGAAAGCCUUGGGGCUAAUACCCUCGAGGAAGGACAUCACCCACAGAAGAAGCACCGGCUAACUCCGUGCCAGCAGCCGCGGUAAUACGGAGGGUGCGAGCGUUAAUCGGAAUUACUGGGCGUAAAGCGCGCGUAGGCGGUCUGAUAAGCCGGUUGUGAAAGCCCCGGGCUCAACCUGGGAACGGCAUCCGGAACUGUCAGGCUAGAGUGCAGGAGAGGAAGGUAGAAUUCCCGGUGUAGCGGUGAAAUGCGUAGAGAUCGGGAGGAAUACCAGUGGCGAAGGCGGCCUUCUGGACUGACACUGACGCUGAGGUGCGAAAGCGUGGGUAGCAAACAGGAUUAGAUACCCUAGUAGUC